Long non-coding RNA from Onychostoma macrolepis, 1891 nucleotides. RefSeq lists it as uncharacterized. NCBI's taxonomy places the organism in Eukaryota, Metazoa, Chordata, Actinopteri, Cypriniformes, Cyprinidae. The record is from RefSeq and is a predicted model, not a curated record. The transcript is spliced from 6 exons.
CAUGUUGACUGCGGCGCCGCGUGAAGCGAACUUCCGCUAACACCGCGAUGACGUCAUAUUUGGCGCGCGCACCCAAGCGAACUUGCGGACGCGUCGAGUAUAAACCAGGCUUUAGUUGUAGUGGGUGACAAGCUACGGUAUUAAACUUGUUAACCUUAUAAUCGCUCAUAGAAAAUACAUCGGAUGUCAUAAUUUUUUUAUCAUGACUAAUUUAUUAAUGAUCCAGCAUCAUCUGUAUUAAAGAGAAAGAAUCAUUUCACCCGAUGUUUAAAGAGAAUAAAAUAGCCUUGACAGCCGUUACUUACACAUAACUAACUGUUAUUGAGGAACUUGCUCUCUCUCACCGGACUCCUGUGUGUAUCGGUAAAGAAGAAAAGCAGGCAGUGGACCAAACCACUAUUUGCUAAAUAUGUCCUGAGUACCAAAGGAAGUGGAGACGACGAUGGGCAAGGGUUGUUGCUUUAGUGGAACGUGAUAGCAGCUCUGAAUCCGAGGGGUCAGGGGAGGGCAAUCCCCUCACGGAGGGAUCAACACAUGACAAAUUACAUCCCAUACUACAACAGUCGAACAGCAUCACUUCUUGAGUGUUUUAAUAAACAGCUGGGCUGUCACACUUACAGGAGGAAAGAACAGAAGGACAAUUUACCCAGAGCCUGCUGGAUCUCCAAGUAAGACUGAGGCAAAGGCCCACAUCUCAGGAAACAAUCACGGCUACCCCCAGAAUGGAUGCACAACAUAACACCUUUGAAUCUUCACAGACCUGUGGACAUAUGUUGAGGCGUGAUAAAAGGCUUCAUGACAGUGAACAUCGGUCGGUAUCAAGGUGGUGUGAUUGAUCUGUCUAGAGUUGAUGGAUCUUCUCUCAGAGACUGUGUGAACAUUUACCUUGCAUCAUUUGUGUGUAUUGCUGCAUAAUAUUUCAGUAAAUUAUAUUUAUGAUUGCCACAAUAAUAAACCCAGCCUUUGAUAUUACUUGAAUUCAGGAUUUAACAUGUCACACACCAUUAUAUCUCCUUAUAUACCUGCCUGUUUUCUUGCUCAGAAGUUUUAUGAUGUCCAUACUAACUCGGACAGUCAGCCAGACUUGAGAAGAAGCCAUUCAAAGCUACACCUUUAUACUAUGUAAUUCAAGAUGCUUUGAAGAGGUGGAGCCCCAAUACUACAGACUCAGACAUUGAUGCAGCAAUGGGGGAACACCUGAAGCAUGCUCCAGGAAGAGCCGGGGGUGGUAAACGACUUUCACAGACAAUAAAAACAUAUACAUAUGUGUUAACCAUAUUUCAGUAUUUUUGUUGUUUACUUGUUUGAUUUAUGGCUGUUUAACAGUAAUGCAAGACUGUUAGGGAAAAAAAAAGAGUACUUCUAUAGCUCUGACUUCCAUGCAUCAAUGGUGGAACACAUGAAUCACGCUCCUGGAAGAGCUGGUGGUUUGUGGACCAAGAAAAUGAGAGUAAACAUUUUGAAAAUUUUUUUUUGAAAGACUCUAAAGAUAGUUACAUAUGUGUUAACUAUGAUCCUGUACUUUUAUUUUCUUGUGUAAAUAAUGGCUGCUUAACAUUAAUGUAAAACUGUUAAAGAAAAUGCCAUUGCCACAGAUUUAGAAUUAACCACAUUCUACUAUUUUUAUUUUCUUGUUUGGAUAGUAGCUGUUUAACAAAUGGAAGACAUUUUUCAAAAAUGUAAUAUUCACAAUAAAAUAUGUUGUGCUAAAUUACAACACUAUUCUUCUUGCUUAAGUCCAGGAAUAAUGUGCUAUUGUUUGUGAUGUACACAUGAUUAAAAUGUUUUGUAGACGUUCAGGUCGGACUGGACCGAUUUUGGACCUUUUUACAACAUUUGUCAAGUUCAGAUGUGUAAACCUCGAGACAUAAUUUAAUGCCUUUCACGAUGU